GUGAGAGAGAGACCUUUAGAGACAGAGGUUGUUGUUGAGUUUAGAGGACAGAGCUGUAGGGUAGGAGUGUUCAGCACGCUGACAGAAGAACAGCACCAUUAUUCUUUUUGAUGGCAGCCAGCUCUUACACAACUCGUAAAUAGGCAAUGGAGAGGAGGAUAAGCAGGAUCAGCAGGCCAAACACUGUCUGUCUUUGCUGCCAGAGCCUGGGUGAAGGAGAAGAAGAGAAUGAAGGUGGAAAAUGAUGGAUGCAGACAUGAGGAGGCAGAAGUGAAUGGUAAACAAGAUGACAGCUCUGAGUCUAGCCACACAGCGUUGACAUUCUCUCCAUUUGGCUGUUCCUUGACGCCAAGACGCCUCUGAGGUAGUUCAACUUCAGCCUCACACUCUGCCAUCACAUUCAUCGGGAAGAAGUCCUGCUGAGAAAGAGACAGGCA
Long non-coding RNA from Epinephelus lanceolatus (giant grouper), 437 nucleotides. RefSeq lists it as uncharacterized. The record is from RefSeq and is a predicted model, not a curated record. NCBI's taxonomy places the organism in Eukaryota, Metazoa, Chordata, Actinopteri, Perciformes, Serranidae.